CACCUGUUCUCCUGAGGCCCGGUGUAUUGCUAUUCGUGCUGUGGACGUUGUUGCCGGCUCUUAAAGUAUUCUGGCGUCUUGCUUCCCGCACUGGGGACCUGGUGGUCAGCGGUUCUAGAGCUGACUUGCCCUGCCUGCAGUCCUGGUGGCCAGACAUUCUUGCGUACCUGUAUUUUGCUGCCGGCCCUCUGGAGCUCGUGCCCAGUUCAAGUCCGGCCCUGUCAACCAGGUGGCCACCAUAUGGGGCCUGGUGUCUUGCUACGCACCCUGCAGACCUGUGGUUCUAGAGGUGACUUGCCCUGCCUGCAGUCCUGGUGGCCAGAUGUUCUUGCGUACCUGUAUUUUGCUGCCGGCCCUCUGGAGCUCGCGGCCAGUUCAAGUUCGGCAGUAUCAACUUGGUGGCCACCAUAAGGGGCCUGGUGUCUUGCUACGCACCCUGCAAACCUGGUGAUCACCUGUCCUCGUGCGCCCUGGUGUAUUGUUAUCCGAGCAGCAGAUGAGGCGAUGCUGGCCUUUCGUGCAUCGUAACCGCGACCAGCGUGGGUGGCAGCAUGGUGACCGACUAUAGUAGCCAGACUAGCAAGGUAAGCACAUU
Long non-coding RNA from Dermacentor andersoni, 595 nucleotides. RefSeq lists it as uncharacterized. Lineage: Eukaryota; Metazoa; Arthropoda; Arachnida; Ixodida; Ixodidae. The record is from RefSeq and is a predicted model, not a curated record.